GUCGAGAUAAUUUAAUGGUAGAAUAAUGUACUCGUAAUACUUAAAUACGGGUUCAAAUCCCGUUCUCGACC
Molecule: transfer RNA, 71 nt
Filed under: Candidatus Organicella extenuata
Lineage: Bacteria; Pseudomonadati; Verrucomicrobiota
Description: tRNA-Thr
Rfam family: tRNA
About the family: Transfer RNA (tRNA) molecules are approximately 80 nucleotides in length. Their secondary structure includes four short double-helical elements and three loops (D, anti-codon, and T loops). Further hydrogen bonds mediate the characteristic L-shaped molecular structure. tRNAs have two regions of fundamental functional importance: the anti-codon, which is responsible for specific mRNA codon recognition, and the 3' end, to which the tRNAs corresponding amino acid is attached (by aminoacyl-tRNA synthetases). tRNAs cope with the degeneracy of the genetic code in two manners: having more than one tRNA (with a specific anti-codon) for a particular amino acid; and 'wobble' base-pairing, i.e. permitting non-standard base-pairing at the 3rd anti-codon position.
Source: RNAcentral